RNAcentral lists this non-coding RNA (26 nucleotides) under Mus musculus (house mouse). RNAcentral also lists the same sequence under 1 other name. Lineage: Eukaryota; Metazoa; Chordata; Mammalia; Rodentia; Muridae. The record is from RNAcentral.
UUGACCGCACAGCAGAGGAAAUCAAG